RNAcentral lists this transfer RNA (87 nucleotides) under Lactobacillus sp. RNAcentral describes it as "tRNA-Leu". It matches the Rfam family "tRNA". From Rfam's summary of the family: Transfer RNA (tRNA) molecules are approximately 80 nucleotides in length. Lineage: Bacteria; Bacillati; Bacillota; Bacilli; Lactobacillales; Lactobacillaceae. The record is from RNAcentral.
GCCCGAGUGGCGGAACUGGCAGACGCGCAGCGUUCAGGUCGCUGUAUGGGUAACCAUGUACAGGUUCGAAUCCUGCCUCGGGCAUCA